UCCAGACUCCUACGGGAGGCAGCAGUGAGGAAUAUUGGUCAAUGGGCGGGAGCCUGAACCAGCCAAGCCGCGUGAAGGAAGAAGGCGCCAGGCGUCGUAAACUUCUUUUGACAGGGAAGAGCAGAAGACGGUACCUGUCGAAUAAGCCACGGCUAACUACGUGCCAGCAGCCGCGGUAAUACGUAGGUGGCAAGCGUUGUCCGGAUUUACUGGGUGUAAAGGGCGUGUAGCCGGGCUGACAAGUCAGAUGUGAAAUCCGGGGGCUCAACCCCCGAACUGCAUUUGAAACUGUUGGUCUUGAGUAUCGGAGAGGCAGGCGGAAUUCCUAGUGUAGCGGUGAAAUGCGUAGAUAUUAGGAGGAACACCAGUGGCGAAGGCGGCCUGCUGGACGACAACUGACGGUGAGGCGCGAAAGCGUGGGGAGCAAACAGGAUUAGAUACCCCCGUACUU
This 451-nucleotide ribosomal RNA is filed under the name uncultured bacterium. Its description in RNAcentral is "partial 16S ribosomal RNA". It matches the Rfam family "Bacterial small subunit ribosomal RNA", at positions 330 to 795 of the family's 1533-position model. The record is from RNAcentral.